RNAcentral lists this long non-coding RNA (3077 nucleotides) under Podarcis lilfordi (Lilford's wall lizard). Lineage: Eukaryota; Metazoa; Chordata; Lepidosauria; Squamata; Lacertidae. The record is from RNAcentral.
AAAAAUCCGUUAACUAGCGCGCGCAGCAGCUGGAGCAUGCGCCGUUCUUCCAGCCGGGGCAGCUAAAGCGCCUUAUAUCGGCUUGUUUGUGCCGGUAGCGUCGCAGGGGCUGAAGGCAGGCACUCUUUAGCUGAGAUUCCUGCAUUGCAGGGGUUGGACUAGAUGACCCUUAGUUCCCUUCCAGCUCCAUGAUUCUACACGCCCCUCCAGCAGUUCCCAUGGCUUUGUCCAGCUUCACAUCUUUCCCUCUUGAAGGGGUAUGUUCCUUAGGUAAAGGUAAAGGGACCCCUGACCAUUAGGUCCAGUCGUGGCCGACUCUGGGGUUGCGGCGCUCAUCUUGCUUUAUUGGCCGAGGGAGCCGGCGUACAGCUUCCGGGUCAUGUGGCCAGCAUGACUAAGCCGCUUCUGCCGAACCAGAGCAGCGCACGGAAAUGCUGUUUACCUUCCAACCGGAGCGGUACCUAUUUAUCUACUUGCACUUUGACGUGCUUUUGAACUGCUAGGUUGGCAGGAGCAGGGACCGAGCAAUGGGAGCUCACCCCCGUCACAGGGAUUCGAACCACCGACCUUCUGAUUGGCAAGUCCUAGGCUCUGUGGUUUAACCCAUAGCGCCACCCGCGUCCCUUAAAAUGUUCCUUAAAAUAUUCAUAAACUGCACUUUCGGAACGUGAGUGUGUGUAAGUGAAGACAGAGGCUUCAGCAAUGCAAAUAGAAAAGCUUCAAUAGCAUAUCCAUAAACUUGACUGGUAAAACAAAAUGGAAGUUCCUAAGGCCCUUCCAAACACCUCCCACCAGUCUUCUGUUGGCAGGGAGUUCCACAGGGCAGCGUUGGCUCACACUAAAGGCUCAGUACCCUGGUGAAGGCCAACCCCAGGGGCAUGGGCAACUGCCACAUGGUAUGCUGCCAUCUGUGGCAAUCACUUGUAGCCAGGUAAGAUUGACUUCCAUGAACACAGUCUUGACAGUGAGGCCGUAAGUGACCAUGGAGGCCGAUUCUAGAUCCACCCAUCCUUCCACAGUGGGGACGUUUCCAGGUGGGAGUUGAUCACAGUGAGGGUUUGCCAAACAUGCUGCCAUAUGCAGGACAAUAAACAGCAUCCUGCCCCACAACUCUUAAUGAGGCUCUGGCCUAUUUUGUUUGCAGUUGUUGCCCUGUUCAAGACAAAGCAAGAAGUAUUCAUAUGGUAAAUAUAAACACCCCAGAUUGAUCAGACUUCCCCCUUGGCAGGGGUGCCAUUGAGACUCCCAGUGUGUGUUUAUGUGUGGAGGGGGUUCCAGAAAGGGUCUUUUGACUCCUGUGAAAUAAAGCCUAGUUUCGCCCCUGCCCUUGGGCAUUUGGGGCUUUUCUAGGCUUCAGCAGUCAGGUAAGGUUUUAUAAAUGCUUUGUGCUUUGAAUCUUUCUCUCUUAAGGCUUCAAUUUUCAAAGCCAAGUAAUAUUUUUGUGCCUCUCCCUAUUGCUGCUGUUGAUCUUUUCUGAUUUAAAAAAAAACAUUUUUCAUUGUUUUUAAACAAAUACAAUUACCCAGCAGUACAGCUUAUCCCGCAGUACAGCUAAUGGUGUUUGUUCUAGCCAUUGUCUCUAGACAUACACUUACACAUUCAAUAUUCAAACAUAUUAAUGUAACUUCUCCACUGAGACAACUGAGCAGUUGGUGUAAGGAGAUCUUGAUUUUGGUCAUUAACAUGAUAUUUUAACAUGAUAUCUUUUGUCACUCAUCAUUUAACACUUUUGUUCUCAUCAACUUUGGGUCACAUGUAUUUGCUCUGAAACGAAUUCAAGAGUAAGCACCUUUGGGGUCAAAGCCAUAAUUGUGUUGAGAGCAUUCUGCAUGCAACUAAGUGGCCAAAUAGAUUUAUUGAGAAACUAAGGAAAUUGCUCAAGGCUCUUGUAAACCCAGAUGCCCACAGGGGAGAGUGCCAGGGAAGCAAAUCCUGCAGUGAGCCUCUGCAGGAGGAAGGCUUUCUUCUUUCAGUUGGCGUGAGGAUCAAUUAAGGCACUCCUGGCAAAGACAAAGCAGAAAUGCAUAGUCACAGUUGCUUAUUGCAUCUCUGCCUCUGUCAGUGCUCUGCAUUUGCCUCCCAGUGAGCUAGGAUGUUGCAAACAGUACCUCAUGCAAAAACACGAUGGGCUGGGCUGAGCAUUCCACCACCCUAGAAGUAAACGGUUAGGGCUGGGUCUGUCCCCUUAAUUCAGCUCUGGGAAGAUAAACCCUCAUCCAACAGAUGUUUGAGAAUCACUGGCUUAAAAAAAAAAAGCUUAAAGUCAUCACACAAGUUUUAAGACCAGAACUUCUAACCACUUACAGUGGAACAAGAAUCUUAAUCUGUGUCAACCACUAUGCUGUGGAAUUCCCACCUGACAGGUGUGUCUAGCACCUUUACUAUACAGCUUUCAACAGAUGCUAAAGACAAACCUCUCCCCUGGCCCUUGGCACCUUAGAUAUGUGUUUUUAGGACCCCACCCCUGCCAGAUUUGAAGUUAUAUUAUGAAGCAUCCUGCCUCUGCUGGUUGUGGGAAUGGAUCUUGUUAAAAAACACAGAUUUAUUAGAUCUGGAGGGUCAUGAUAAUAGAUUUGGGUGGCACGCGUAUUUGUGGUAUGAUAAAACAAAAGUACAUAAAGGAUUCCUGAACCAUUUGAUAAGAAAAUCAAUCUAUGAGGGAUAGGUACAAGAAUCUACAGUCAUACCUUGGGUUGCGAAUGCUGUGGGUUGCACAUUUUGAGCUCUGAGCCCGGCCUUGGCUGGGGAGGGCGGGGUAUAAAUAAAAAUUAUUAUUAUUAUUAUUAUUAUUGGGUAAUGGACUGCGCCAAACCUGGAAGUACCAGAACGGGUUACUUCUGGGUUUCAGCGCAUGCACAGAAGCACUGAAUCACGUCACGUGUGUGCACAGACGCGGCGCUGUGGGUUGCGAACAUGCCUCCCGCAUGGAUCACGUUCGCAACCCGAGGUAUGACUGUAUUAGAACGAAGAACACCAUGGUGGCUCUCUCCAUUAGAAGCAAUUUCAGUUAAAAAAGUAAAUAUGAGAGGCAAGUGGGUCACCUAUUAAGAUUUGUUAAAAGAGACGUGAGACCAAUU